Molecule: long non-coding RNA, 200 nt
Organism: Colletes gigas
Lineage: Eukaryota; Metazoa; Arthropoda; Insecta; Hymenoptera; Colletidae
Exons: 5
Source: RefSeq, a predicted model, not a curated record
UACAUGAAUAAAUAAGUCUAAAAUAUAGAAUAACAAUUUUUCAUGUGAUACUUCGUUUUCGAGAAAAUCGACUUUGAAUUUUCGCCGGGUAUGCGUGCACUUAACCAUGUCUUGUUAUAGCGAAUCCCACUAUAGAUGAUUGUUUCGAUGGGUAUUAUUGCAGUUUAAAUAUCUUUUUAUCGAAACGGAAAAUUAGAAGC